UACGGAGGGUGCAAGCGUUAUCCGGAUUCACUGGGUUUAAAGGGUGCGUAGGCGGACAGGUAAGUCAGUGGUGAAAUCUCCGAGCUUAACUCGGAAACUGCCGUUGAUACUACUUGUCUUGAAUAUUGUGGAGGUAAGCGGAAUAUGUCAUGUAGCGGUGAAAUGCUUAGAUAUGACAUAGAACACCAAUUGCGAAGGCAGCUUACUACACAAUCAUUGACGCUGAGGCACGAAAGCGUGGGGAUCAAACAGG
RNAcentral lists this ribosomal RNA (253 nucleotides) under uncultured bacterium. RNAcentral describes it as "partial 16S ribosomal RNA". It matches the Rfam family "Bacterial small subunit ribosomal RNA", at positions 524 to 776 of the family's 1533-position model. The record is from RNAcentral.